RNAcentral lists this ribosomal RNA (259 nucleotides) under uncultured bacterium. RNAcentral's name for it is "partial 16S ribosomal RNA". It matches the Rfam family "Bacterial small subunit ribosomal RNA", at positions 338 to 589 of the family's 1533-position model. The record is from RNAcentral.
CCUACGGGGGGCAGCAGUAGGGAAUCUUCCACAAUGGGCGAAAGCCUGAUGGAGCAACGCCGCGUGGGUGAAGAAGGUCUUCGGAUCGUAAAACCCUGUUGUUAGAGAAGAAAGUGCGUGAGAGUAACUGUUCACGUUUCGACGGUAUCUAACCAGAAAGCCACGGCUAACUACGUGCCAGCAGCCGCGGUAAUACGUAGGUUGCGAGCGUUAAUCGGAAUUACUGGGCGUAAAGCGCUCGUAGGCGGUAUGUCAAGUC